RNAcentral lists this ribosomal RNA (450 nucleotides) under uncultured bacterium. RNAcentral describes it as "partial 16S ribosomal RNA". It matches the Rfam family "Bacterial small subunit ribosomal RNA", at positions 338 to 795 of the family's 1533-position model. The record is from RNAcentral.
CCUACGGGGGCUGCAGUAAGGAAUAUUGGUCAAUGGAGGAAACUCUGAACCAGCCAUCCCGCGUGAAGGAUGAAGGGGCUCUGCCUUGUAAACUUCUUUUGUCUGGGGCGAAAAAGCUCGAUUUAUCGAGAACUGACGGUACCAGAAGAAUAAGCACCGGCUAACUCCGUGCCAGCAGCCGCGGUAAUACGGAGGGUGCACGCGUGAACUGGGAUCAAUGGGGGUGAAGGGUGCUUAGGAGGUCAGUGGUGAAAGGCUGUGGCUUAACCAUGGAAUUGCCAUUGAUACUGCAGAGCUUGAAUGAGGUUGAGGUUGGCGGAAUGUGACAUGUAGCGGUGAAAUGCUUAGAUAUGUCAUGGAACACCGAUUGCGAAGGCAGCUGACUGGACCUAUAUUGACGCUGAGGCACGAAAGCGUGGGGAGCGAACAGGAUUAGAUACCCCGGUAGUC